AGUGUUUAUCAUUGUGAAUGUUGUGAUUGAGAUUUAUGAAUAUGCUUAUGUAUAUGUUUGUAUACACAUCUCUCCGGUAUGGGAUGGAGGAAGAUGCGGUAUGAUGCUUAUUAUUCCACUGAUUGAAUACUGGUGAUGGCAUGCAUAGGUUUGGUACCUUCAUGAUUAUUUACCAUUAUAAAUGAUGUGAUUAUAGCCGAAAUAUGAUCUUAUGAUUUUUCUUCUUGUUAGACGAUUAAGCUAUGUGGUAACUAGUUGUCUAUUAGCUAACUAUUGCACUUGAUGGCUAGGAAGCUAAUGUAUUAGUUAAUGAAUCUUGCUUAGUUGGAACAUGGUAGCUAAUGAUGGUCAGUUAAUGAAUGAUGUCAUUUAAUAAAAGAUGGUUAGGCGACAAGUUGUAAUGUGUUGUCUAGUAAUGAUUAACAAAAAUAGGAUGAAUAGUUGCUAAUAAUGAAUGGUGGAUAAAUGAUGGUUUUUGAUCUAAUGAUGAACCUAGACUAGAUGUUGGACGUUGACUGUUAAAUGAAUAGUGGUUAGUUAUUAUCUCGUGAACAAGGAUUAUGUAAAGGAUGAUGUUUAGGCUAAUAACUAGAGGUUAUGUGAUGACUAGCGAACUAGCGGUUUAAUAAUAACAAGUGUUGGUUAGCUAAUAAUGAGUAGUUGGAAUGUAUUGAUAAGUUAGACAUCUUUACGGUUACGAGUAUAUUGGCUUGCAUCUGUGCACCUAUUAUAUGCCUAUAUUUAUGUGUCGAGAGUUAUGAUAAUACAUUGAUAUCCGGCAAGGCCACAGGAUAUUAUGAUGGUAUUGAUAUCCGGUUCGAGUCCGGAGGAUGUUAUUGAGAUGAUAUUGAUACCCGGCAAGGCCGGAGGAUAUUGUGAUAAUAUUGAUACCUGGUUCGAGUCCGGAGGAUACUAUUGAGAUGAUAUUGAUACCCGGUGAGGCCGGAGGUUGAUGACGAUGAUGAUGGUCCUGAUGAAGACAGUUAUGAUGCAUUGUGAUAUUAAUGGUAUAUUUUGCAUUCAUUCCUGCAUGCGCAUCGCCUAUCACCAGUAUGCACCUAUGUCUAUCAGCCGGAAUGGGAUGAUUGCAUAGAUAUGGGUGAAGUAUAUGUCUUGUGUUAUUGUUUGUUGAUUGAACCUUCUGAGUCUGGGGCGGUAGGGGUACGCAUAGGCUCGGCUAGGUAUUUGGUUGUCCAGAGUAGCCGGUUAUUUACAAUGUUAUUGAUAUUGUUAUUAUCAUGGUUAUGAUCAUUAUUAUGGCUAGCUUAUGACAAACUGAUCAUGGAUCCGGUAUUAGGAUUAAGGUAUGUCUUCGGCCUUUGCUAUCUUAUGAUUGCAUUACUAUGCACGAUUAUUCUAUGUCUAGCCAUAUGGAUUAGAAAUCCUGAGUAUGUUGGUAUUGAAUCUUGAUAGCAUUAUAAUAAGAUCUUAAAAUGAGAACAUGAUGAUGUAGGUUAUGUUGAGAUGACCUCCUAUAUAUAUAUAUAUAUAUAUAUAAAAAGUCAUGGUACUAUCGGAUAUCCCUUUCUUCAUUGUUCAUAUUGUAUAGUCUUUCUUUCACCUUGUAUAUUACAAUAUAUCUUCAUUUUUCUCUUUAUCUAUAUAUUGACCUGGGAUAUAAGGUAUAGCUUUGGCAUAUAUUGAAUGUAGCUGGAAUAAGAUAGUACACCUUAAUACUUCCUUAGUCUUAUUAUGUUAGACUCUUGGACAUGAAUAGGAUAGUUGUUCCUUAUUAUUCUCAUUGACUUAUUACAUGAUUUAUGGACUCUUGGUUGUAGUUUCUAUUCUAUUUAUAUGUUGUAUAUAUCUACUUUAUCUUUGGAGCUCAGUUAACAUGUUCAUAUUGUAUAGUCGUUCCUUCGCCUUGUAUAUUACAAUAUAUCUUUCUUUCGCUCUUUAUCUGUAUAUUGACCAGGGAUAUACUGUAUAGCUUUGACAUAUAUUAAAUGUAGUUGGAAUAAGAUAGUUCACCUUGAUAAUUCCUUAGUCUUAUUAUGUUAGACUCUUGGAUAUGAAUAGGAUAGUCAUUAUAAUAAGAUCUUAAAAUGAGAACAUGAUGAUGUAGGUUAUGUUGAGA
Molecule: long non-coding RNA, 2077 nt
Filed under: Capsicum annuum
Lineage: Eukaryota; Viridiplantae; Streptophyta; Magnoliopsida; Solanales; Solanaceae
Description: long non-coding RNA (CANN_LNC012967)
Source: RNAcentral